CUGUAUCCAAAUUAGCUCAACAUGAUCAAAAAAAUUAGUAGAGGAGCGUUUUCACAUUCUCUACGCUAACUUCACCUUCCCAUAAUUUAUUAUACCACAACAUUAGUGCAUAAAAGUUAAACUCAUGUCGAUUCUAUCACGCUCUAUUGACCAUGACAAUAAGAUCUCUUAAAAUAACACAUGACCUACAAUUUGGUGAAUAGACACACUUGCAUUGAAUGUCUUGAGCUAUAUGGAAUUAACUCGAUCAUAUAUAUUCUCAAAUGGAGGUCCAAAAUAUUUAUAAAGAACAAGGCACAAAAAGGAAAAGGCUAGAUCCUGUGAUCCACAGAGGACCAUAUAUACUAGCUAGUGCAUGUCAUUUUGAUUCACAACUCCGUAGGUUAUCAAAAGCACGCAUCUAAGAGGCAGCAACAGCACACAGCAGCCAGACUGCAAAAACAAUAUCAACAAAAAAUCGAUUAGUUUUCUCUGUCUUCUGAAAAUAGAAAGAGUUACGAGGGAAAUUAAUGUGUUAGCCUGCUAGGUACACUGAAUGGUAAAAUUAAUGAAGACACAUGCAACAACGCUAAACAUAUAUAUUAAGAUUACAAUUUAUUAGCUAUUGUUAGACUAGAAACAACAUAUAGAUCGAUUCAGAUACUGUAGUACUUUAGAAUAAUCCUAUUAGCCAAAAAAAUAAAAAUACGUAGCAGAUAAGUUCAAAUCGUUCAAUCUUCCACCAUUGUCAUUGGCAGAAUUCCUCAUCCACAGGCUAGACAGCAGCUCUCUUGCCCGGGGAUUAUAUUCCAUGCAAAGAGUGGAGUCAGGGGGAUUUUAAGAUAAAGAGAUUUGAAAACUUGCAAGAAUGCUAACAUCUGAGAUUUAAACUUAUAACCUAAAGUAAUUUUUUUACCAUCUUUGUCACGAAACUAGAAACUUCCUAAUAUCAAGGGUAGUUUACCUAUAUAUAUAUAUAUAUAUAUAUAUAUAUAUAUAUAUAUAUAUAUAUAGAUAUAUUUAUACAUAGUAUAAUUUUUGGAUGAACGGUCUUCGAUACAUAUAUAUAGCUCCACCCCUAUUUAUUGUUGGACGUCCAAGCGGUGGCAGAUAAAGCUCCGAGGCAGUGGGUUCAUCCGAACUUGGUAUUUCGACGCAUCAUAGAUAUAUAUGUGAAUUUUCACUAUAACUUCAACAAAUAUUAUAUGAACCAUAUAAUGUUACUAUGAACCUUAAAAGUCGAACACAUCAAUUUUAAUUCCUAGAUAUGUCUAACUUUCUUAGAUCCAAAUCCAGAAAAAUGUAAGAUCACACAUAUCCAGUCCAUGCAAGCCAACGAACAAGAUGACGCGGACACGCAAGACGACAACCGGCGCGGAUGUAGUGUAGUAUCAAUAGGUUCAACUGAACUCAUAACUUUUGACGCGGAGUAAAAUUUUAUAUGUAAAAAUUUAUUAAAAUUACAAAAAUAAUAGAUAUGAACCCAUAACUUUAAAAAUAUAAUGAGUUCAAACCUAAAAACUUUAAAAGUUGAACCCACAAGAUUUAAAUCCUAGAUCCGCUUCUGACAAUCGAGUUGCAUCAUGCAUGCAUGCACAAACGUAAGAAUUAAUAUUCAGAUAGGAGGGAGUAUGGGGGGAGGGGCAUAUAUGUACCAGCCAGUCAUGACGCCGGUGGUGGCAGAUGAGUUCUUUUGAGGGGGCGGAGCCGCGUACUGAGGGGCCCCGUACGGCGGAGGAGGAUAACCUUGUGGUUGUGGAGGAUAACCUUGUGGGUAUCCCUGAGGAGGAUACCCAUAUGCAUCCUUUGGUGGAUAUCCUAUUUAUUUAUUUUCACAUCCAUAUAUAUUCCAUUAGAUGCAAUAUAUUUCCGAGAAUAUCAUAAAGAACACAACAAACAAUAUUAAAGAAAAUUUGUUACCUUGAGGGGGAGGGACACCAACUGGAGGAGGUUGAUUGUAAUAACUCAUGAUCAAUUUAUUGGAUAUAGAUCUGUUGUUCGAAUUAUAUGGUUUCAAUAUUCAAAGAUUUUCUGUUCUUUGAGAGAUAUAUAAUGCAAAACUAUUUGCUCGAUCUUAGUCUGAUCUAGAAUAUGUCAACCGAUCCCUGUGUAAGAUUCAAGAUUUCAUAUUUGAUUAAUUUUCCGUAUGGUCAAAAUCCUAACAGAUAGAGAAACCCAUCAUGUUUGUUUAUGAAAACUAAUUAGUUAGUUGAUCACUUAAACUGUCAGUUUUUCUUUUAUAGAAAAUCAAUUCUUUAAGUUCGUGGAUUUUUCAACCGAAAUAAAUGCAAAACUAAUUAUUUUUCAUUUAUUAAAAAAUAAAGCUAUUUCCCUAUUCAAACGAAACCUAAGACCACAUGAUCCACUACUGUAGGGUCCCUUUCUUUAAUUCUUUUAACAUUCAAAUCAUUUCUGCAGUGUUAUUUUAUUUAAUUAACUUCACUUAGGAGUAU
This 2432-nucleotide long non-coding RNA is filed under the name Nicotiana tabacum (common tobacco). RNAcentral describes it as "long non-coding RNA (NTAB_LNC014354)". Lineage: Eukaryota; Viridiplantae; Streptophyta; Magnoliopsida; Solanales; Solanaceae. The record is from RNAcentral.